UGGGGAAUAUUGCACAAUGGGGGAAACCCUGAUGCAGCAACGCCGCGUGAAGGAUGACGGUUUUCGGAUUGUAAACUUCUUUUCUUAGUGACGAAGACAGUGACGGUAGCUAAGGAAUAAGCAUCGGCUAACUACGUGCCAGCAGCCGCGGUAAUACGUAGGAUGCAAGCGUUAUCCGGAUUUACUAGGUGUAAAGGGUGCGUAGGCGGCUUUGCAAGUCAGAUGUGAAAUCUAUGGGCUCAACCCAUAAACUGCAUUUGAAACUGUAGAGCUUGAGUGAAGUAGAGGCAGGCGGAAUUCCCCGUGUAGCGGUGAAAUGCGUAGAGAUGGGGAGGAACACCAGUGGCGAAGGCGGCCUGCUGGGCUUUAACUGACGCUGAGGCACGAAAGCGUGGGUAGCAAACAGGAUUAGAUACCCUGGUAGUCCACACUGUAAACGAUGAUAGCUAGGUGUGGGGGGUCUGACCCCUUCCGUGCCGGAGUUAACGCAAUAAGCUAUCCACCUGGGGAGUACGACCGCAAGGUUGAAACUCAAAGGAAUUGACGGGGGCCCGCACAAGCAGUGGAUUAUGUGGUUUAAUUCGAAGCAACGCGAAGAACCUUACCAGGUCUUGACAUCCGACUAACGAGAUAGAGAUAUGUCAGGUGCCCUUCGGGGAAAGUCGAGACAGGUGGUGCAUGGUUGUCGUCAGCUCGUGUCGUGAGAUGUUGGGUUAAGUCCCGCAACGAGCGCAACCCCUGCCAUUAGUUGCUACGCAAGAGCACUCUAAUGGGACCGCUACCGACAAGGUGGAGGAAGGUGGGGACGACGUCAAAUCAUCAUGCCCCUUAUGACCUGGGCCACACACGUAAUACAAUGGCCGUUAACAGAGGGAAGCAAAGCGGUGACGCAGAGCAAAACCCUAAAAACGGUCCCAGUUCGGACUGUAGGCUGCAACCCGCCUACACGAAGUUGGAAUUGCUAGUAAUCGCGGAUCAGCAUGCCGCGGUGAAUACGUUCCC
This 1002-nucleotide ribosomal RNA is filed under the name uncultured organism. Its description in RNAcentral is "bacterial SSU rRNA". It matches the Rfam family "Bacterial small subunit ribosomal RNA", at positions 355 to 1375 of the family's 1533-position model. The record is from RNAcentral.